Trichonephila clavata is the source of this 76-nucleotide non-coding RNA. The record is from the annotation of a GenBank genome assembly. Lineage: Eukaryota; Metazoa; Arthropoda; Arachnida; Araneae; Nephilidae.
GUCCCUGUAGCGGAAGGGAUAUUGCGUUGGACUUUUAAUUCAAAGGUCGUGGGUUGUUCGAAUCCCACCUGGGAUA